Molecule: ribosomal RNA, 348 nt
Filed under: Triticum aestivum (bread wheat)
Lineage: Eukaryota; Viridiplantae; Streptophyta; Magnoliopsida; Poales; Poaceae
Description: partial small subunit ribosomal RNA
Source: RNAcentral
AUGGACAUUGGUAUCAUCUGUGACGAGGGUUCCCCAGGAUCCAUGGAGUCAAGGACAGGAACACCUGUGCCAAAUGAUAAUGACUACCUGAUAGUGAUUCCUUAUGCCCACAUAUUUGACCUCAUGCUGAAAGCUCUAAAGCUACCCCCUGCAACUUACCAUCACAAAAUGUACCCAGGUGGAAAGAAUCGUGUAAUAGUUACUUUCAUUUCUACUUUGGAAUUGCUAGAUGGUUCACUUGUCCCGAGUUCUAUACCAGGUGCAAUCUUAGAUAGCUUGAAGAUGCAGAAGACAGUGCUGCUAUGGAGGCUAUUAGAUACAUGGAAAAUGCAUAUGGCAAAGAAAUGA